CGACCGGCGCACGGGUGCGCACCGCGUAUGGAACCUACCUUUUGCAGGGGAAUAGCCCAGGGAAACUUGGAUUAAUGCCCCGUAGCACUAUUUUGCGGCAUUGCAUUAUAGUUAAAGCCUUCGGGCGGCAAGAGAUGGCCAUGCGUCCCAUUAGCUGGAUGGUAAGGUAACGGCUUACCAUGGCUACGAUGGGUAGGGGCCCUGAGAGGGGGAUCCCCCACACUGGUACUGAGACACGGACCAGACUCCUACGGGAGGCAGCAGUGAGGAAUAUUGGACAAUGGAGGAGACUCUGAUCCAGCCAUGCCGCGUGCAGGAAGACGGCCCUAUGGGUUGUAAACUGCUUUUAUACGGGAAGAAAAACAGCUACGUGUAGUUGACUGACGGUACCGUAAGAAUAAGGACCGGCUAACUCCGUGCCAGCAGCCGCGGUAAUACGGAGGGUCCGAGCGUUAUCCGGAAUUAUUGGGUUUAAAG
RNAcentral lists this ribosomal RNA (477 nucleotides) under uncultured bacterium. RNAcentral's name for it is "bacterial SSU rRNA". It matches the Rfam family "Bacterial small subunit ribosomal RNA", at positions 92 to 565 of the family's 1533-position model. The record is from RNAcentral.